UCCCAAACGAAUUAGUGGGGUCUGCUUUGCCGAUCCUUGACGUGAUAAGAUGUUUCUACGUCUCGGGUUUGGCACUGUAUCCGCUUCUAACCGUCUCAUUGACAACGAUGGCGUUCCGGUCACCACCGUUUCAUCGGUGGUGGCUUGACCCACCAAAAAACCUUGACCUCAAAUCGGGUGAGACUACCCGCUGAACUUAA
This 200-nucleotide unclassified non-coding RNA is filed under the name soil metagenome. RNAcentral's name for it is "partial contains internal transcribed spacer 2 and large subunit ribosomal RNA". The record is from RNAcentral.